ACGAACGCUGGCGGCGUGCUUCACACAUGCAAGUCGAACGGAAAGGCCCUGCUUUUGUGGGGUGCUCGAGUGGCGAACGGGUGAGUAACACGUGAGUAACCUGCCCUUGACUUUGGGAUAACUUCAGGAAACUGGGGCUAAUACCGGAUAGGAGCUCCUGCUGCAUGGUGGGGGUUGGAAAGUUUCGGCGGUUGGGGAUGGACUCGCGGCUUAUCAGCUUGUUGGUGGGGUAGUGGCUUACCAAGGCUUUGACGGGUAGCCGGCCUGAGAGGGUGACCGGCCACAUUGGGACUGAGAUACGGCCCAGACUCCUACGGGCGGCCGCAGUGGGGAAUAUUGCACCAUGGGCGGAAGCCUGAUGCAGCAACGCCGCGUGCGGGAUGACGGCCUUCGGGUUGUAAACCGCUUUCGCCUGUGACGAAGCGUGAGUGACGGUAAUGGGUAAAGAAGCACCGGCUAACUACGUG
RNAcentral lists this ribosomal RNA (467 nucleotides) under uncultured bacterium. RNAcentral's name for it is "partial 16S ribosomal RNA". It matches the Rfam family "Bacterial small subunit ribosomal RNA", at positions 29 to 507 of the family's 1533-position model. The record is from RNAcentral.